Non-coding RNA from Periconia macrospinosa, 97 nucleotides. The record is from the annotation of a GenBank genome assembly. NCBI's taxonomy places the organism in Eukaryota, Fungi, Ascomycota, Dothideomycetes, Pleosporales, Periconiaceae.
GGUUCGGUGGUGUAGUUGGUUAUCACGUCAGUCUAACAAUCAAUCUCGAGUUGAGUUAGUGCACUGAAGGUCCCGAGUUCAAACCUCGGCUGAAUCA